AGUACACGUGACUAACCUACCCUUGAGUGGGGGAUAACCUAGGAAACCUGGGCUAAUACCGCAUAAUACCUUCGGGUCAAAGGAGCAAUUCGCUUAAGAGGGGGUCGCGGCCGAUUAGUUAGUUGGCGGGGUAAUGGCCCACCAAGACUGUGAUCGGUAUCCGGCCUGAGAGGGCGCACGGACACACUGGAACUGAAACACGGUCCAGACUCCUACGGGAGGCAGCAGUGGGGAAUUUUGCGCAAUGGGGGAAACCCUGACGCAGCAACGCCGCGUUGGAGGAUGAAGUCCCUUUGGGACGUAAACUCCUUUCGAUCGGGACGAUAAUGACGGUACCGGAAGAAGAAGCCCCGGCUAACUUCGUGCCAGCAGCCGCGGUAAUACGAGGGGGGCGAGCGUUGUUCGGAAUUAUUGGGCGUAAAGGGUGCGUAGCGGUUUGGUAAGUCUUGUGUGAAAUCUUCGGGCUCAACUCGAAGUCUGCAUGAGAAACUGCCGGGCUUGAGUAUGGGAGAG
RNAcentral lists this ribosomal RNA (513 nucleotides) under uncultured bacterium. RNAcentral describes it as "bacterial SSU rRNA". It matches the Rfam family "Bacterial small subunit ribosomal RNA", at positions 109 to 656 of the family's 1533-position model. The record is from RNAcentral.